Molecule: long non-coding RNA, 2540 nt
Filed under: Callithrix jacchus (white-tufted-ear marmoset)
Lineage: Eukaryota; Metazoa; Chordata; Mammalia; Primates; Cebidae
Description: lncRNA (ENSCJAG00000076480.1)
Source: RNAcentral
GGGCGGAAUCCGGGCUCCCUCCGCGGGAGGAAAGACGUCCCGCGCUCUGGAGCUCGCCCAGCGGGGAGAGGCCCUCGCUAACACGGCUUCUCUCUGACCUCUUAAUUUCAGGAGGUUUUGGAGCCUCCGAGUGCCUAUACAGCCCCCACAGGAACUACUUCUGUUGGCCCAUCGAGGAUCGUCUUUCACCAGGAUUAUUGUAACAUCUUCACGGAGCCUUCCACCCCAUAGCCUCUACCUUGGGUCUUAAUUUCCACCGAUGCAGUUUAUUGAUGCUUUCUUUAGUAAUGUGACAUCACAUGUCCACUAUCCUCCUUUCCAGCUGCCAAAUGCAGUAGGUUUAAGUCGUUUUUAAAGUAGGGAGUUUUCUGCCUGUUCCACUUUCACCUUAUUUGCACCGCUCACUUCUGUCCGGGUCAUCUCUUGCUUAUGAUUUCCACAAGCACUCACUUGCGCGACCUAUAGCAGAGUCCUUGCCUAGAGAGACAGCAUUCCAUACAAUCCACUGCUUGACAAAGACCACAUAGACAGAGGGCACGGGUAAGGGUCAAAAGUCAUUCAAGCGAAGUUCUAAGGAACUCCUUUCAUUGGCCAGAGGUCUUGGAGAAGGUGGGGGUUCCUCCCAGGUUAAAAGUCCCCUUCUUUCACACCCCUGUGGACUACAUGUUUGGAUCCCCUUCCACACAGUCUGUCUCUCUCGUGUGAAAGUUCUCUUUCUUCUUUUCUUUCUCUUUCUCUACCUAAAUAAAAUAACUUUUCUGCAACACUGUUUGGGGUCCGGUAUUUACCUUGCGAGUGCACCUGGUCCCCUCUCUCAUUCUUGAGAUAGUAGGAGACCAAGAACCUUGGAGAAACGUCCUCUCAGGGGAGCUGAGGGCACCUCUAAACCUCCAAACCUGGAAACAGUGUGACUGGCUGCCCUGGGUCCAUCAUGUUCCUCAGUGGGACCCCUAUGGCCAAGGAAUUUAGAGUCAGAAGACUUAAAGCCAAUUAAAUGUUUUAGGCCAAAUGGAAAUGGAGGUGGGCAGGUACUCAGAAAAUCCCUUUAAGCAACAUGAGAGCCCAAAACCCAAAGCCAAAAAACAAGUUACAAAAUUGACUUGUCGAUCUCAAUAAUGCUUCUGGCAUAUGUUGACCAUAAAAGGAAUAUGAACUAAAAAAAUAGUAUCCUAAGCCUCCCAACAGACUGAACCCCCUCUUAGCCAAAGGGAUCCCCAAAACCCUGAAAAUCUGGUUCAUGGCAUGGCAGGAAGUGGGCAUUGGACACACCUCAUUGUGCCCAACCCCCCUUGCAAUGUAGGCACAAGUAACCACCAUUAACAUUAAAAUAGAGAUUAUAAGAUUGAAAAAGCAGACUCCUGUAACAACAAAAUACCAAAUUAUAAACAGGACCUAAGACCAUGCAGGCAAGGGUUAAGUGACACCCCUACACUUAAAGAGUAAGCUGUGUUCUAGCUGCCACAGGGUUUUCUUUUUCUCUAGCAGUUAGACAGGGACUGGCCUCAAGAGAAGCUAACUGGCCCCCAGCCCCUGUUCCAUAAGCUAUAACUACAGAUUUAAUUAGACACAAGACUGACUUUAAUAACUUUCACCUGAUGAAAGACCACCGACCAGGGACUAGUUCUAGCUGGUUUACAGAAAUUGCACAUUUGCAUGCGUUUCUGCCCUAAAAAGACCUUUUAAUGUAUAGGGCCUAAUUUUAUUGCAUCUAAAUAUUGUCUCACCCAAAAAUGAACAUGAGUCAGAUGUUAUGUGCAUAUUUGUUCAAUGCACAUGUGUCAGGACCACCUUCAUGAAUAUUCAUAGCCCCUCCUGCAACCUGUUAAAUAUGUACAUUUAGCCAGCCUGUUGUCAUAUUCCCAUAGGAGCUUCAAGCACAACUGACAGUGGGGAGCGUGCACUGUAAUUAAGACUGAGUAGUGUGUGUACAUCCUAGAUAAUUCUGGAAACAAAUCCUUAGCCCUAUAAGACAUGCACAAGCAAAUUAAUGCUAUGUCUCAUCCCACAAUGUCCUAAGUCAAUGACUCUCCUCAUGGUUUGGAUCAGGCCGCUCCUCAUGAAAAAAAGUUGCUCAUAAUUUCAGCCAUGAUUAUAGGGAUAGGUUUAUUCUUCUGCUGUAGACCAUAUUGCUGUUACAUACUCACCAUGAUGCUCUAGCAGAGCUCUCUGUAAGCUAAUGGACUCAAAAGUAUUUUCCACUCCAAGUGGUGAGGUUCCAUUCCACUGCCCCUUAACUGCACCGUUUCAGCAGGAAGUAGCUAGAUGGAGCACAUCAUCCCCUUUCCGUAGAAAUGGAAUGGAACUUGACAGUGGCGAGUUGUAACCGAGAGUCUUAGGUUUAAAAUGUAUUUUAAAGCCCUUCCCAAUAGUCUUAAAGUGCAUUUAAAAGGUUUUUUGUUUUUGUUUUUCCAUUUCUUUCCUUCCCCCUGGACACUCGCUUAUACCAUGACCCUAUGACCAACAUAUACGUGCUUGACUAACUAUAUGAUUGCUUAGAAAUUCCAGGGGAUAAUCUUGAAACAGCCCAGGCCUGGAGACCC